AGUUGGUGAGGUAACGGCUCACCAAGUCAAUGAUCUUUAGGGGGCCUGAGAGGGUGAUCCCCCACAAUGGUACUGAGACAGGGACCAGAUUCUUACGGGAGGCAGCAGUGAGGAAUAUUGGACAAUGGGUGAGAGCCUGAUCCAGCCAUCCCGCGUGAAGGACGACUGCCCUAUGGGUUGUAAACUUCUUUUAUACUGGGAUAAACCUACCCUUCGUGAGGGUAGCUGAAGGUACAGUAUGAAUAAGCACCGGCUAACUCCGUGCCAGCAGCCGCGGUAAUACGGAGGGUGCAAGCGUUAUCCGGAUUUAUUGGGUUUAAAGGGUCCGUAGGCGGACUCGUAAGUCAGUGGUGAAAUCUCAUAGCUUAACUAUGAAACUGCCAUUGAUACUGCGGGUCUUGAGUAAAGUAGAAGUGGCUGGAAUAAGUAGUGUAGCGGUGAAAUGCAUAGAUAUUACUUAGAACACCAAUUGCGAAGGCAGGUCACUAUGUUUUAACUGACGCUGAUGGACGAAAGCGUGGGGAGCGAACAGGAUUAGAUACCCUGGUAGUCCACGCCGUAAACGAUGCUAACUCGUUUUUGGGUUUUCGGAUUCAGAGACUAAGCGAAAGUGAUAAGUUAGCCACCUGGGGAGUACGUUCGCAAGAAUGAAACUCAAAGGAAUUGACGGGGGCCCGCACAAGCGGUGGAUUAUGUGGUUUAAUUCGAUGAUACGCGAGGAACCUUACCAAGGCUUAAAUGGGAAUUGACAGGUUUAGAAAUAGAUCCUUCUUCGGACAAUUUUCAAGGUGCUGCAUGGUUGUCGUCAGCUCGUGCCGUGAGGUGUUAGGUUAAGUCCUGCAACGAGCGCAACCCCUGUCACUAGUUGCCAUCAUUCAGUUGGGGACUCUAGUGAGACUGCCUACGCAAGUAGAGAGGAAGGUGGGGAUGACGUCAAAUCAUCACGGCCCUUACGCCUUGGGCCACACACGUAAUACAAUGGCCGGUACAGAGGGCAGCUACUAUGCGAAUAGAUGCGAAUCUCGAAAGCCGGUCUCAGUUCGGAUUGGAGU
RNAcentral lists this ribosomal RNA (1052 nucleotides) under Chryseobacterium aquaticum. RNAcentral's name for it is "bacterial SSU rRNA". It matches the Rfam family "Bacterial small subunit ribosomal RNA", at positions 247 to 1304 of the family's 1533-position model. The record is from RNAcentral. Lineage: Bacteria; Pseudomonadati; Bacteroidota; Flavobacteriia; Flavobacteriales; Weeksellaceae.